Hypanus sabinus (Atlantic stingray) is the source of this 2179-nucleotide RNA transcript. It is a transcript of the gene named heterogeneous nuclear ribonucleoprotein D-like, with no coding region annotated. The transcript is spliced from 10 exons. Lineage: Eukaryota; Metazoa; Chordata; Chondrichthyes; Myliobatiformes; Dasyatidae. The record is from RefSeq and is a predicted model, not a curated record.
CAUAUAAGGCCCGGCACCCCACCCCUCCCCCUCCCGGACGGGUGCCUGGGUUUCUCCCCUUUCUUUGCCCUCGCCAUUUUGUUGGUUGCGACUGCAAGCGGACCGGCGGCGGUGUGGGCACUUGAGUGUGAGCGAUCCGGCUAAGCUGACGGCCUUGUGACAGUCAGUCCGCGGCACCUUCACCGUCCCAGUACCGGCGCCCGCGGAGGAGCCGAGCUCUUUUCCCUUGCCUCUGUUACUGCCGUGCGGGAGCAGCCCGGCGUCUGUCAGUCUCAUGGAACAGCCCAUGGCGGCCGUGGGCUCCGAGGAGUUUCCCGAAGGGGCCAAGAUAAACGCCAGCAAGAACGAGGAGGACGAAGGAAAAAUGUUCAUUGGGGGUCUUAGCUGGGACACAAGCAAGAAGGAUUUGACAGAUUACUUGUCCAAGUUCGGUGAAGUUGUAGACUGUACCAUAAAAAUGGAUGCAGUGACUGGUCGAUCAAGAGGAUUUGGUUUUGUACUAUUCAGAGAACCUGCCAGUGUGGACAGGGUGUUGGAACUGAAGGAGCACAAGCUUGAUGGGAGGCUUAUUGACCCGAAAAGAGCAAAGGCAAUAAAAGGCAAGGAGACGGCUAAGAAAGUGUUUGUUGGGGGCCUAAGUCCUGAUGUACCAGAAGAAAUGGUUAAGGACUACUUUGGAGCAUAUGGAGAGAUUGAAGGCAUUGAACUUCCAAUUGACAACAAGACUAAUGAGCGGAGAGGAUUCUGCUUCAUCACAUUCAAGGAAGAAGAACCAGUGAAAAGGCUCUUGGAAAAUAAGUAUCAUAAUAUAGGCUCUAGCAAGUGUGAAAUUAAAGUGGCGCAGCCCAAGGAAAUCUACAGACAACAACAGCAACGAGGAGGCAGAGGUGGAGGUGGGUUUGGUGGAAGAGGUCGUGGUAGAGGGGGACAAAAUCAGAACUGGAACCAGGGAUACAACAGCUACUGGAAUCAAGGUUAUAGUAGUUACAACAAUGGCUAUAGCAAUCCAGGUUACAAUGGAUAUGGAGGUUAUGAUUACUCUGGGUAUAACUACAACAACUACGGAUAUGCUCCAGCAUAUGAUACCUACAAUACAAAUGUGCCUCCUGAUGGUCAAUCAAGGAACGGCAUUGAUGGUCGUGGAGAAGUCUGCGGCCUGGACUGCCUCACCCUCUCUGCUGAAGGAGGCCAGGUCAGCAGAGCAGCUACGGAAAGGCAUCUAGAGGAGCAGGCAGUCACCAGAAUAACUACCAACCAUACUAAAGAAAAAAUUAUCUAGUUAUUUCAUUGCAGCGGGAACUUCAUUGCAGGACACGUGUCACCCUGACCACACGAUUCUCUUGGGGCCGCGCAUUGCGGACAGAACGUGAGGUGUGCUCGUGAAAAUGCUGCCCUGUGGUGGAGAAUUGGAAGUAUAAACAUCAGUAUAACAGAAGAUAAUGUCAAGAGAAAAUGUUAAACCUGAGAGCAUCAGUGUUUUCCUUUGGGACUUUUGUACCACAUGAAAUCUGAAGUUGACAUAUUUUGUGCCCCAAAUGUAUAUAGCAUCUAAACGUUUUUAAGUCAUAUAGUUACUUUGCUUUGUACGACUUGAGAACUGCAUUCCUUAACAUCUGUGUAUUGUGAUAGUAUAUAAUGUUGCUACUAACUGGUGUGAUGGAACACAUGUUUGUUGCUGUACCCUGUUGUAUCUGCUGAAUGGCAUCUGUUGCUGAAAUAAAUGAGUGUGAAUGCUCAAAUGUCAAGUGGUUUAUUGGGUUGAGAAAAAUUGGCUUUUUGAUAUGAUUGUGCAAAGGUGCCCUUUAGUUACAGAUACAGUAGACUGUAUUCAUUUCUGAGCGCUAGGAGUUGUAUUUAGGCUGAUGUCUGAGAGGAAACAGGUUUUCCUGUUUACAUUGAUGCUACUAAUAUGUUAUCUAAAUUUAUAUUGUGCACUAGAUCUGCAAAUGAAUUAGUUCUUGCUGCUUUCUUCCAUUUCCAACUGCACCCUCCCAAAGUGAUUUUUUUUUGUUAAACAAUUUAAAACUUUUGCCCUUCCUGGUGUCAGGUUUCUUGAAUAACUCUUCAUCUGUAUGUUGACUUCAAUUAUAACUUCUUUUGUGUGUUGUAUUGCCAAUUUCAUCUCCGCAUCUUGGAGAUAUUAUCUUAGUGUUCAGUUUCAUUAAACUUCAAUGAUAUA